CCCUUAGAUGUUCUGGGCCGCACGCGCGCUACACUGAUGCAUUCAACGAGCCUAUCCUUGACCGACAGGUCCGGGUAAUCUUUGAAUCUGCAUCGAGACGGGGAUAGAUUAUUGCAAUUAUUAAUCUUCAACGAGGAAUGCCUAGUAGGCGCAAGUCAUCAGCUUGCGUCGAUUACGUCCCUGCCCUUUGUACACACCGCCCGUCGCUCCUACCGAUUGGGUGUGCUGGUGAAAUGUUCGGAUCGGCCGUUUGUCGCGGUUUCCGCGUCAUGUGGCUGAGAAGUUCAUUAAACCCUCCCACCUAGAGGAAGGAGAAGUCGUAACA
RNAcentral lists this ribosomal RNA (325 nucleotides) under uncultured eukaryote. RNAcentral describes it as "partial 18S ribosomal RNA". It matches the Rfam family "Eukaryotic small subunit ribosomal RNA", at positions 1470 to 1796 of the family's 1831-position model. The record is from RNAcentral.